AUUGAACGCUGGCGGCAGGCCUAACACAUGCAAGUCGAGCGAGAGGCGGACGGGUGAGUAAUGUAUGGGGAUCUGCCCGAUGGAGGGGGAUGACUACUGGAAACGGUGGCUAAUACCGCAUACUAUCGGAUGAACCCAUAUGGGAUUAGCUAGUAGGUGGGGUAAAGGCUCACCUAGGAGACGAUCUCUAGCUGGUCUGAGAGGAUGAUCAGCCACACUGGGACGGAGACACGGCCCAGACUCCUACGGGAGGCAGCAGGGGGGAAUAUUGCACAAGGGGCGCAAGCCUGAGGCAGCCAUGCCGCGUGUAUGAAGAAGGCCUUAGGGUUGUAAAGUACUUUCAGCGGGGAGGCGUUACCCGCAGAAGAAGCACCGGCUAACUCCGUGCCAGCAGCCGCGGUAAUAC
RNAcentral lists this ribosomal RNA (406 nucleotides) under uncultured bacterium. RNAcentral describes it as "partial 16S ribosomal RNA". It matches the Rfam family "Bacterial small subunit ribosomal RNA", at positions 29 to 526 of the family's 1533-position model. The record is from RNAcentral.